UCCUCAGUAGCUCAGUUGGUAGAGCAGGUGACUGUUAAUCACCUGGUCGGCGGUUCGAGCCCGUCCUGAGGAGCCA
Molecule: transfer RNA, 76 nt
Filed under: Oligoflexus sp.
Lineage: Bacteria; Pseudomonadati; Bdellovibrionota; Oligoflexia; Oligoflexales; Oligoflexaceae
Also listed under: 2 other names
Description: tRNA-Asn
Rfam family: tRNA
About the family: Transfer RNA (tRNA) molecules are approximately 80 nucleotides in length. Their secondary structure includes four short double-helical elements and three loops (D, anti-codon, and T loops). Further hydrogen bonds mediate the characteristic L-shaped molecular structure. tRNAs have two regions of fundamental functional importance: the anti-codon, which is responsible for specific mRNA codon recognition, and the 3' end, to which the tRNAs corresponding amino acid is attached (by aminoacyl-tRNA synthetases). tRNAs cope with the degeneracy of the genetic code in two manners: having more than one tRNA (with a specific anti-codon) for a particular amino acid; and 'wobble' base-pairing, i.e. permitting non-standard base-pairing at the 3rd anti-codon position.
Source: RNAcentral